Molecule: long non-coding RNA, 330 nt
Filed under: Daphnia pulicaria
Lineage: Eukaryota; Metazoa; Arthropoda; Branchiopoda; Diplostraca; Daphniidae
Description: uncharacterized LOC124337935
Source: RNAcentral
UGAAGCCUAACCAUAAUUUCUGUAAAAAUGGUUGGCAGGUGUGCUGUUCCUGGUUUUAAAUCAACAUAUUUCAAAGGAAAUCAAAAAGAAAACGAGGUUACCCUGUUUGCAAUUCCUAAAACUUCAUUAUCAAAAUGGCGAGAACUAAUUCCAUGGAUUGAAAUUUUGAACGUGUUCCAUCCUUACAAACGGUGGACUCUUAAUGCUGGAGCAAUGCCCUGGAAACCAACAUUUUCUGUUAAAUGAUACAUCUAGUCAACAAGUAAUGCAAAAUGUUGAUGUUUUCAAAUGGAGAAAUAACGUAAGUGGUAUUUUUACAUAUGUUUAUUU